Long non-coding RNA from Sipha flava (yellow sugarcane aphid), 501 nucleotides. RefSeq lists it as uncharacterized. NCBI's taxonomy places the organism in Eukaryota, Metazoa, Arthropoda, Insecta, Hemiptera, Aphididae. The record is from RefSeq and is a predicted model, not a curated record. The transcript is spliced from 3 exons.
CGUUCGUCGACAACAAUACACGGAAACAGUGCGCUAAAUAUUCCCGCUUGCGGACCCUUUCGAAAAGCGUGUACAGUGAUCGUAAGGGUGGCUUAAUAACCGGAGCCGGCCGGUCGACGAUUGAUCAACUCCGGUGUACAUACUUAAUCCGCUGAUCGAGUCCCGUCAUCGUCGGUGGGGUUAAGAAAAAUGCAAGUGGCGUUUACGUUCGAAACGGACUGAAACAGUUACCGUGCGCAAUCGGCUGACUCUCCAUCUUUUCGCAUCGAAAAAAAAAAAAAAAACCAAUUAUCAGGAACGAGCGAAACUUUCAACAAGAAUUUAUAUUCAUUAGGUACGGGACAACGGCGUGCACACGCACAAGUACAUGUACAAGUACGCUGUUGUACGCUUUUCAAUUACAAGUUGGAUCUUAUCAGUGUACCCGGUCGAUAGUGGAUCACGAAACGUGUACGCGAUACGGCUCCGGGUUAUACAAUGUGUACCGAUGCAAACUAGGUA